GAUGAAACAGUUGAGUGAGUCUGCCACAUGUGAUAACUUGUGCUCCACCUCUCACUCUUGACAGUGUAGCCCACUGCCAUCUACCAAGUGUAAUAUGGCAUCAAAGGCCUCUACAGGUGCUGGAAGGAGCAAUGGGGAGGAAGCUGUGUAGAGGACAACUCUUCAUCCUUGAAGUGCAGAUAUGCUGUGGUCAGUACUUCACUCUGCUGCAUCUUCUUAGAAGACUUCCCGGACUGUGGUGUUUUGGCAUUAUCUUCUAAUGAAGCACAUGGCUAUAUUAUUCCAGAGAGGUGGGGAUUCCGGGAUGGACUGUGCUGCCACUCGGUACUUGGUGAGUGCAACAUCAAAAUCUUGGUGACUCUGCAGGGAAGAAGUUUGCUUAUUGAAAGGAGGCCAAAUUCCAUCAUGCCAUCCACUGGUUGGAGGAGGAACUUCAGCUGUGCCUAUGAAUAAUUCUCACUCACAGGCGACUUAUCUGUGGAGCAGACUGGACCUCUGCCACCCUCCUCGAGGAAAUUGCUGCGGACCUCUCCCUGCUGUGCUGGACCUUAGGUGCUGGGGAAGGUUUUGUCUGGAACCAAUCUGCUGUUACAGAUAUCAGCUACCAUCAGCAAUAGUAUCAUCGGGCCAAGGAGCUGUGCAGGAUUUACAGUGUGGAGCAUGCGACGCAGGACUGUGUCCACUGCUGUUGGGGUGGUGGAGAAUCUUGUGCCGAGGUACACCAACUGUAGUUCCAGUUAUCAUGCCUGGAACUGGUGCUGCCCUGCACAUCUAUGAUGAAGAUGUGGGAGCUGACCACUGCCACAGCUGCAGCCAGGGGACACCAUGAACUCAGACACGAGCCCAAAAACCUGUCUCAGCAUGCGAGGAACAGCCUGCUGUCUAUGAAGGAUGUCAUUGCCACAAGAAGAGAAGGAUGAGGAUCAGGGCCUGCUGUGACAAUCCACUGCCACCCCCAGCAAUGAGAAUGGAGGUGGACCCUGGACAGCUUCUUGCAGACAGGGUAAUGGCAAUGAUGACCCAGGAUGUGGGUAUGACAGCUUAAUUGGAGGUAGCAGGGCCUCCAGUGCCAACGACUUUAGCAGAAAGGUACCACAACAAAGGAGCAGCUACCUGCAGUGGUGGCCACCCAACACAAGAGGGUGACCUAGACAGCUGCCUGGUACUCCUUCAGGGAGGCUGAUCUAGUUAACCUUCUCAUCAAGUUUGAGCACCUGAUGGAGCAGGAGGUAGAGGUGAGGUUCAAGAGAGUUCUGCAUGGACUGACCCUCCCUUUCAUGAGAGAAAACUCCUCCCUGACACCCUGCCAAUUGCCUACCCCUUGAAGAUUCAGCUUCAUAACUAUGACCAUGUGGAAGAGAAGAAAUGGGUGGAGUUGAUGAAGACAACAUGGACGAUGAGGACCAGCGAUUUAACGAGGACAGGGACCUCACAUAAUUGAUGCAAGAAUCUGCCACUAGAUCUGUUCUUUACCUGACCUAUAGAAGCACCAAUGUUGUUGAUGUAGUUUAUUUUUGUUAUUUUUAUUGUAUUUUUGUGUUAGCUAUGCUAUUAUACCAUGACAAAUAAAUUUAUGAAUGAAGCAAACAUCCUUAUGUAAAAGACAAGUUUAGCCAUCUGAUUAACUACAAAUGAAUGUC
Long non-coding RNA from Eriocheir sinensis (Chinese mitten crab), 1640 nucleotides. RefSeq lists it as uncharacterized. Lineage: Eukaryota; Metazoa; Arthropoda; Malacostraca; Decapoda; Varunidae. The record is from RefSeq and is a predicted model, not a curated record. The transcript is spliced from 4 exons.